This 227-nucleotide long non-coding RNA is filed under the name Sinocyclocheilus anshuiensis. RNAcentral's name for it is "lncRNA (ENSSANG00000011303.1)". The record is from RNAcentral. Lineage: Eukaryota; Metazoa; Chordata; Actinopteri; Cypriniformes; Cyprinidae.
CGGCCGUCUCUUUGGCAAGAAGGAGAAAUCGCGUUUAGAUCAGCCUUUGAGCAAGGAUGGCCAGAUGACACCACCUGCCAUUCCAGAUUUCGAGAUGGGCAUUGGAGAUACCAUGACCUUGAGCAAACUGGGCACACAGGCAGAGCGAGACCGCAGGAUGAAGAAAAAACAUGAGCUGCUGGAGGAUGCUAGGAGGAAAGGGCUUCCUUUUGCUCAGUGGGACGGCC